AUCAAGCUGAAGACAAGAGGAUAUGAACUAUGAUAUGAGGGUGGAAGCUGAAUUAGUGAGGAUGACUCCUGCUCCUGUCAUCUCUAAGCUCCUCACACAUCUUUACCUGCACAUGAGGAAAAUCACUCCUGUAGAAUGCAGGUAUGUUUGUCAUUAUUAUAAAAAGAUGUUGCCUGGUGACCUGUCAGAAACCCAUUAUACAGAGUCAGCCAAAAUAAUGUUUACACACAUCAGGAAAAGAAAAACUUGCAUAAAUAUUUCAAUACCAAAUGUAUUCA
Molecule: long non-coding RNA, 278 nt
Organism: Amphiprion ocellaris (clown anemonefish)
Lineage: Eukaryota; Metazoa; Chordata; Actinopteri; Pomacentridae
Source: Ensembl